CCGAGUGAGGGCCCUCCGGGUCCAACCUCCCACCCGUGUUUACCGUACCUUGUUGCUUCGGCGGGCCCGCCGUAUGGCCGCCGGGGGGCUUCCGUCCCCGGGCCCGCGCCCGCCGAAGACACCUGUGAACGCUGUCUGAAGAUUGCAGUCUGAGCGAGAAGCGAAAUCGUUA
Molecule: unclassified non-coding RNA, 172 nt
Filed under: uncultured fungus
Lineage: Eukaryota; Fungi
Description: sequence contains ITS1
Source: RNAcentral